Molecule: non-coding RNA, 853 nt
Filed under: Strongylogaster xanthocera
Lineage: Eukaryota; Metazoa; Arthropoda; Insecta; Hymenoptera; Tenthredinidae
Source: RNAcentral
AAUAAAUUUAUAUUUAUUUUUAAAAUUAUAAAAAGUUUGAUUUUGGCUUUAUUAUUUAUUUAAUAAUUUUUUUGCAUGUAAAUUAUUGUGAGUAUUAUUAAUUAAUUAAAAAUUAAUUAAUUAAAAAUUUUAAUUUUUUAAAUUAAUUAUUUGCAGCAUUUAAUUUUAAUAAUUAAAAAAAUUUAGAAUUAUAAAUUAUUUUUAAUAAUAACAAAAAAUGUGCCAGCAGUUGCGGUUAAACAUUUUAUUAUAAGUAAAUUUUAUUAAAAAUUAUAAUAUAUAUAUAUAUAUAUAUAUAUAUAUUAUUAUAAAAAUUAAGUGAAAUUUAUUUUUAUUUAAAAUUAUAUAUUUAAAAAAUAAAUUAUUAUUAAAUCUUAAUAUUAAACUAGGAUUAGAUACCCUAUUAUUUAAGAAUUAAAUUUUUUUUUGAAGGAUUAAUAGUUAUGGUCUUUAAACUUAAAAAAAUUGGCGGUAUUUAAAUCUAAUUAGGGGAAUUUGUUUAUUAAAUGAUAAUCCUCAAGAAACCUUACUUUAAUUAAUUUAACUUAUUUAUUGCCGUUAUCAGAUUAUUUUUUAAGAAUUAUAAAUUUUCUUAAUUUUUUAUUUUUAAAAAUUAUUUCAGGUCAUUAUGUAGUUUAUAUUAAAGUUUAAAUGAAUUACAAUAAAUUAUAUUUAUAUGAAUAUAAAAUUGCAAAAUUUUAUUGAAAGUGGACUUAAUAGUAAAUAUUAAAUUAUUAUUUUAUUUUGAAAUAAGAAUUAAAUAUGUACAUAUCGCCCGUCACUCUCGUUUUAAGAUGAGAUAAGUCGUAACAAAGUAGAUAUACUGGAAAGUGUUUCUAGAAAGUUUUAUUAU